AUUGAACGCUGGCGGCAUGCCUUACACAUGCAAGUCGAACGGUAACAGGUUAAGCUGACGAGUGGCGAACGGGUGAGUAAUAUAUCGGAACGUGCCCAGUCGUGGGGGAUAACGCAGCGAAAGCUGUGCUAAUACCGCAUACGAUCUACGGAUGAAAGCGGGGGACUCGCAAGAGCCUCGCGCGAUUGGAGUGGCCGAUAUCAGAUUAGCUAGUUGGUGGGGUAAAAGCUCACCAAGGCGACGAUCUGUAGCUGGUCUGAGAGGACGACCAGCCACACUGGAACUGAGACACGGUCCAGACUCCUACGGGAGGCAGCAGUGGGGAAUUUUGGACAAUGGGCGCAAGCCUGAUCCAGCAAUGCCGCGUGCAGGAUGAAGGCCUUCGGUUGUAAACGUAGCUUUUGUUACGGUAGCGAAAGGUACGUUUCCUAAUUACGAGAGGCGUCGUGACGGUACCGUAACGAAUAAGACACCGGC
This 477-nucleotide ribosomal RNA is filed under the name uncultured bacterium. RNAcentral's name for it is "bacterial SSU rRNA". It matches the Rfam family "Bacterial small subunit ribosomal RNA", at positions 30 to 497 of the family's 1533-position model. The record is from RNAcentral.